GCGCACGGGGAGGGGGUCGCGGCCUAUCAGCUUGUUGGCGGGGUAACGGCCCACCAAGGCGACGACGGGUAGCUGGUCUGAGAGGAUGGCCAGCCACAUUGGGACUGAGAGACGGCCCAG
This 120-nucleotide ribosomal RNA is filed under the name uncultured bacterium. Its description in RNAcentral is "partial 16S ribosomal RNA". It matches the Rfam family "Bacterial small subunit ribosomal RNA", at positions 215 to 334 of the family's 1533-position model. The record is from RNAcentral.